AACGCUAGCUACAGGCUUAACACAUGCAAGUCGAGGGGAAACGACAUCGAAAGUUUGCUUUUGAUGGGCGUCAACCGGCGCACGGGUGAGUAACGCGUAUCCAACCUGCCCACCACUUGGGAAUAACCUUGCGAAAGUAAGACUAAUACCCAAUGAUAUCUCUAGAAGACAUCUGAAAGAGAUUAAAGAUUUAUCGGUGAUGGACGGGGAUGCGUCUGAUUAGCUUGUUGGCGGGGUAACGGCCCACCAAGGCAACGAUCAGUAGGGGUUCUGAGAGGAAGGUCCCCCACAUUGGAACUGAGACACGGUCCAAACUCCUACGGGAGGCAGCAGUGAGGAAUAUUGGUCAAUGGACGAGAGUCUGAACCAGCCAAGUAGCGUGCAGGAUGACGGCCCUAUGGGUUGUAAACUGCUUUUAUACAGGAAUAAAGUUAGCCACGUGUGGCUAUUUGUAGGUACUGUAUGAAUAAGGACCGGCUAAUUCCGUGCCAGCAGCCGCGGUAAUACGGAAGGUCCAGGCGUUAUCCGGAUUUAUUGGGUUUAAAGGGAGCGUAGGCCGUCUGUUAAGCGUGUUGUGAAAUGUAGAUGCUCAACAUCUGAAUUGCAGCGCGAACUGGCAGACUUGAGUGUGCGCAACGUAGGCGGAAUUCGUGGUGUAGCGGUGAAAUGCUUAGAUAUCACGAAGAACUCCGAUUG
Molecule: ribosomal RNA, 696 nt
Filed under: uncultured bacterium
Lineage: Bacteria
Description: bacterial SSU rRNA
Rfam family: Bacterial small subunit ribosomal RNA
Source: RNAcentral